UUUGGUUCCUGCUGCUGCCAUUAGGCAGCAGCCCUGCCUCCCCUGCUCCUUAACCCAUUCCCAGCAAUCCUCUAACCUCAGUUUUGCUAGAUUUCUAGGAACAGACCUCUUGGCUAUAAUCUUUUAGAGUUCUAAAGUUAUCCCAAUUGGCCUAUAAAGCUUUGGCUCCUUGGUUUAGUGACUGUUUCAACAGAGUAGGCAAAGGAGUUUGUCAAGCUAGAAUUACU
RNAcentral lists this long non-coding RNA (227 nucleotides) under Panax ginseng (ginseng). Its description in RNAcentral is "long non-coding RNA (PGIN_LNC008279)". The record is from RNAcentral. Lineage: Eukaryota; Viridiplantae; Streptophyta; Magnoliopsida; Apiales; Araliaceae.